RNAcentral lists this ribosomal RNA (414 nucleotides) under uncultured microorganism. Its description in RNAcentral is "bacterial SSU rRNA". It matches the Rfam family "Archaeal small subunit ribosomal RNA", at positions 459 to 872 of the family's 1478-position model. The record is from RNAcentral.
CAGCAGCCGCGGUAAUACCGGCGGCCCGAGUGGCGGUCACUCUUAUUGGGCUUAAAGCGUCCGUAGCCGGGUUGGGAAGUCCUCCGGGAAAUCUGGCCGCUUAACGGUCAGAAUGCCGGAGGAUACUCCCAGCCUAGGGACCGGGAGAGGCCGAGGGUAUUCCCGGAGUAGGGGUGGAAUCCUAUAAUCCCGGGAGGACCACCGGUGGCGAAGGCGCUCGGCUGGAACGCGUCCGACGGUGAGGGACGAAGGCCAGGGGAGCAAACCGGAUUAGAUACCCGGGUAGUCCUGGCUGUAAACGAUGCGGACUUUGUGUCGGACAAGCUAUGAGCUUGUCCGGUGCCGGAGGGAAACCGUUAAGUCCGCCGCCUGGGGAGUACGGCCGCAAGGCUGAAACUUAAAGGAAUUGGCGGG